GUGUUGCGAGGCAACCGAAUCCCCAUGAAACUUAUUCCCAUGAAAGUAAUUCACGUCAGAACAGAGAGGCGUGGAUCCUGCAGGGCUGGAGUGUACACUAAUAUCGUGAAAGCUGUUUUGAUUGACAGCACAGUGGCCCAGUUUGGGUCGCCUCGAAUGUGGGUCACAGAUAAUAACAAGCUGGAAGUCUUAAAGAAUUUGGUUGUCAUAUAGUAAAUUCAUUUAUAAUGAUGUGAGGCUAUUAAUUAACCUUUAUUAUUAAUCAUUAGCAUCAUUUUAAUUAGGAGUAUUGCAGGUUUUUCCUGAGGUAAAAUCUAAAAAGGGGCACAGCUGUCAUUCUAGUGAAGGAGAGGAGGCAUGGCCUAUGUACCUGUCAGUCCUUGUGCAGGAGGCGUGGCCUGUGUGCCUGUCAGUCCCGAUUAAAGGAGGCAUGGCCUUUGUAAAUGGUAAAUGGUCUGCACUUAUAUAGCGCUUUUAUCCAAAGCGCUUUACACUGUGUCUCAUUCACCCAUUCUCACACACACUCACACACCAGUGGUAGCAGAGCUGCCACGCAAGGCGCUAACUUGCCAUCGGGAGCAACUUGGGGUUCGGCACUUCGGUAUGUGGAGUCACGUGGGCCGGGAAUCGAACCGCCAACCCCACGGUUAGUGGACAACCCGCUGAACCACAACCGCCCCAAUUUGUAAUUUGUGUAUUACAGUCACAUUAAAGGAGGUGUGGCCUUUGUGCAUUAUAGUCACACCAGAGGAGGCGUGGCCUUUGUGUAUUACAGUCACAUUAAAGGAGGCGUGGCCUCUGUGUAUUAUCGUUACAUUGAAGAAGGUAUGUCCUUUGUGUAUAAUAGUCACACUGAAGGAGGCGUGGCCUCUGUGUAUUACAGGCAUACUGAAGGAGGCGUGGCCUUUGUGUAUUACUGUCACACUGAAGGAGGCGUGGCCGCUGUACCUGUUCGUCCUUGUGAAAGAGGCGUGGUCUCGAUCAGUCCUCGUGAAGGAGAUGCGACCUGUGUGAUGGGCUGUUCCACUACAUGGCCUAUAUGCCGGUCAAAUACAAGUGAAGGAAGUGUGUCCUCCAUCUCCUUAGACCAAAAAAAUGAUGGUUUUCAAAAUCCUGUCACCUCAUAUAGGAUCGAAACCAGAUCAUGUGAAAU
Molecule: long non-coding RNA, 1153 nt
Organism: Ictalurus punctatus (channel catfish)
Lineage: Eukaryota; Metazoa; Chordata; Actinopteri; Siluriformes; Ictaluridae
Source: Ensembl